RNAcentral lists this non-coding RNA (29 nucleotides) under Mus musculus (house mouse). The record is from RNAcentral. Lineage: Eukaryota; Metazoa; Chordata; Mammalia; Rodentia; Muridae.
UGGAAUAGACCUGGGAGAAUGGUAGCCCU